This 253-nucleotide ribosomal RNA is filed under the name uncultured bacterium. RNAcentral describes it as "partial 16S ribosomal RNA". It matches the Rfam family "Bacterial small subunit ribosomal RNA", at positions 524 to 776 of the family's 1533-position model. The record is from RNAcentral.
UACAGAGGUCUCGAGCGUUGUUCGGAUUCAUUGGGCGUAAAGGGUGCGUAGGUGGCGUGGUAAGUCGGGUGUGAAAUUUCGGAGCUUAACUCCGAAACUGCAUUCGAUACUGCCGUGCUUGAGGACUGGAGAGGAGACUGGAAUUUACGGUGUAGCAGUGAAAUGCGUAGAUAUCGUAAGGAAGACCAGUGGCGAAGGCGAAUCUCUGGACAGUUACUGACACUGAGGCACGAAGGCCAGGGGAGCAAACGGG